UGAGGAAUAUUGGUCAAUGGGCGAGAGCCUGAACCAGCCAAAUCGCGUGAAGGAAGACUGCCUUAUGGGUUGUAAACUUCUUUUAUACAGGAAUAAAAAAGGGGACGUGUCCCUUAUUGCAUGUACUGUAUGAAUAAGCAUCGGCUAACUCCGUGCCAGCAGCCGCGGUAAUACGGAGGAUGCGAGCGUUAUCCGGAUUUAUUGGGUUUAAAGGGUGCGCAGGCGGGCUUUUAAGUCAGCGGUGAAAUCUCGGGGCUUAACUCCGAAACUGCCGUUGAAACUGGGAGUCUUGAGUAUGGAUGAAGUAGGCGGAAUUCGUUGUGUAGCGGUGACAUGCUUAGAUAUAACGAGGAACUCCGAUUGCGUAGGCAGCUUACUAAGCCAUAACUGACGCUCAAGCACGAAAGCGUGGGGAUCAAAACAGGAUUGGAUACCCUGGUAGUCCACGCCGUAAACGAUGAUUACUAGUUGUAUGCGAUAUACCGUAUGUGACUAAGCG
Molecule: ribosomal RNA, 499 nt
Filed under: uncultured bacterium
Lineage: Bacteria
Description: partial 16S ribosomal RNA
Rfam family: Bacterial small subunit ribosomal RNA
Source: RNAcentral